UGAGGAAUAUUGGACAAUGGGGGCAACCCUGAUCCAGCCAUGCCGCGUGAGUGAUGAAGGCCUUAGGGUUGUAAAACUCUUUCGCCGGUGAAGAUAAUGACGGUAACCGGUAAAGAAGCCCCGGCUAAUUUCGUGCCAGCAGCCGCGGUAAUACGAAAGGGGCUAGCGUUGUUCGGAAUUACUGGGCGUAAAGCGCGCGUAGGCGGCAUGCCAAGUUGGGGGUGAAAUCCCGGGGCUCAACCCCGGAACUGCCUCCAAAACUGGCAAGCUAGAGGAUGUGAGAGGAUAGUGGAAUUCCGAGUGUAGAGGUGAAAUUCGUAGAUAUUCGGAAGAACACCAGUGGCGAAGGCGACUGUCUGGCACAUUUCUGACGCUGAGGUGCGAAAGCGUGGGGAGCAAACAGGAUUAGAUACCCCCGUAGUCC
This 424-nucleotide ribosomal RNA is filed under the name uncultured prokaryote. RNAcentral describes it as "bacterial SSU rRNA". It matches the Rfam family "Bacterial small subunit ribosomal RNA", at positions 355 to 796 of the family's 1533-position model. The record is from RNAcentral.